This 533-nucleotide ribosomal RNA is filed under the name uncultured bacterium. RNAcentral's name for it is "bacterial SSU rRNA". It matches the Rfam family "Bacterial small subunit ribosomal RNA", at positions 383 to 907 of the family's 1533-position model. The record is from RNAcentral.
CUGAUCCAGCCAUGCCGCGUGAGUGAAGAAGGCCUUCGGGUUGUAAAGCUCUUUCAGACGGAAAGAAAUCGGUGCGUUUAAUACAUGCACUGGAUGACGGUACCGUAAGAAGAAGCACCGGCUAACUACGUGCCAGCAGCCGCGGUAAUACGUAGGGUGCGAGCGUUAAUCGGAAUUACUGGGCGUAAAGCGUGCGCAGGCGGUUAUGUAAGACAGAUGUGAAAUCCCCGGGCUCAACCUGGGAACUGCGUUUGUGACUGCAUAACUAGAGUACGGCAGAGGGAGGUGGAAUUCCACGUGUAGCAGUGAAAUGCGUAGAGAUGUGGAGGAACACCGAUGGCGAAGGCAGCCUCCUGGGCCAGUACUGACGCUCAUGCACGAAAGCGUGGGGAGCAAACAGGAUUAGAUACCCUGGUAGUCCACGCCCUAAACGAUGUCAACUAGUUGUUCGGUGAGGAGACUCAUUGAGUAACGCAGCUAACGCGUGAAGUUGACCGCCUGGGGAGUACGGCCGCAAGGUUAAAACUCAAAUG